UCCCUGGUAGCUCAGAGGUUAAAGCGUCUGCCUGGAAUGCGGGAGACCUGGGUUCUAUCCCUGGGUCGGGAA
RNAcentral lists this transfer RNA (72 nucleotides) under Bos taurus (domestic cattle). It matches the Rfam family "tRNA". Rfam says of the family: Transfer RNA (tRNA) molecules are approximately 80 nucleotides in length. Their secondary structure includes four short double-helical elements and three loops (D, anti-codon, and T loops). Further hydrogen bonds mediate the characteristic L-shaped molecular structure. tRNAs have two regions of fundamental functional importance: the anti-codon, which is responsible for specific mRNA codon recognition, and the 3' end, to which the tRNAs corresponding amino acid is attached (by aminoacyl-tRNA synthetases). tRNAs cope with the degeneracy of the genetic code in two manners: having more than one tRNA (with a specific anti-codon) for a particular amino acid; and 'wobble' base-pairing, i.e. permitting non-standard base-pairing at the 3rd anti-codon position. The record is from Rfam by way of RNAcentral. Lineage: Eukaryota; Metazoa; Chordata; Mammalia; Artiodactyla; Bovidae. RNAcentral also lists the same sequence under 2 other names.